AUUGAACGCUGGCGGCAUGCCUUACACAUGCAAGUCGAACGGCAGCAUGAUCUAGCUUGCUAGAUUGAUGGCGAGUGGCGAACGGGUGAGUAAUACAUCGGAACGUGCCCUGUAGUGGGGGAUAACUAGUCGAAAGAUUAGCUAAUACCGCAUACGACCUGAGGGUGAAAGUGGGGGACCGCAAGGCCUCAUGCUAUAGGAGCGGCCGAUGUCUGAUUAGCUAGUUGGUGAGGUAAAGGCUCACCAAGGCGACGAUCAGUAGCUGGUCUGAGAGGACGAUCAGCCACACUGGGACUAAGACACGGCCCAGACUCCUACGGGAGGCAGCAGUGGGGAAUUUUGGACAAUGGGCGAAAGCCUGAUCCAGCAAUGCCGCGUGUGUGAAGAAGGCCUUCGGGUUGUAAAGCACUUUUGUCCGGAAAGAAAUGGCUCUGGUUAAUACCUGGGGUCGAUGACGGUACCGGAAGAAUAAGGACCGGCUAACUACGUG
RNAcentral lists this ribosomal RNA (490 nucleotides) under uncultured bacterium. Its description in RNAcentral is "partial 16S ribosomal RNA". It matches the Rfam family "Bacterial small subunit ribosomal RNA", at positions 30 to 507 of the family's 1533-position model. The record is from RNAcentral.